AUCUAUAGCCAUACCAAUUGUGAAUGCCCCCAUCUUGUCUGAUCUUGGAAGCUAAGCAGGGUCAGGACUGGUUAGUACUUGGAUGGGAGAAAAGAAAACUGAACUUCAAAAGGAAUAGGAA
This 121-nucleotide ribosomal RNA is filed under the name Microcebus murinus (gray mouse lemur). Lineage: Eukaryota; Metazoa; Chordata; Mammalia; Primates; Cheirogaleidae. The record is from RNAcentral.